UACGGAGGGGGCUAGCGUUGUUCGGAAUUACUGGGCGUAAAGCGCACGUAGGCGGCUUUGUAAGUUAGAGGUGAAAGCCCGGGGCUCAACUCCGGAAUAGCCUUUAAGACUGCAUCGCUUGAAUCCGGGAGAGGUGAGUGGAAUUCCGAGUGUAGAGGUGAAAUUCGUAGAUAUUCGGAAGAACACCAGUGGCGAAGGCGGCUCACUGGACCGGUAUUGACGCUGAGGUGCGAAAGCGUGGGGAGCAAACAGG
This 253-nucleotide ribosomal RNA is filed under the name uncultured bacterium. RNAcentral describes it as "partial 16S ribosomal RNA". It matches the Rfam family "Bacterial small subunit ribosomal RNA", at positions 524 to 776 of the family's 1533-position model. The record is from RNAcentral.